This 1106-nucleotide long non-coding RNA is filed under the name Serinus canaria (Common canary). RNAcentral's name for it is "lncRNA (ENSSCAG00000005238.1)". Lineage: Eukaryota; Metazoa; Chordata; Aves; Passeriformes; Fringillidae. The record is from RNAcentral.
AUGUCUGAACACCCGGCGUGCGGAUCCGUAUACACGUGCCGAGAAACAAGAAAACGCUUUCCCUUGGAGCGUUACCCCACUUUUAGAAACCGCGUUUGGAAUGACUGCUCUUGCUUUGGCUUCCUGAAGGCUAAAGGCAGGCAGAUGUUGAGGAGGGAUGCUGACCUGCUGGGGGUGCCUGCCCAGGGAAGGGACCGCAGGCGCUCACAUCAGGUCGGGGCACUUACCUGCGCACAGCUGUCAUGGCAUUUUGCGCCGUGUGCCUCACCAAAUGCCUUAAAGUAAAGCAGUGUUCAACAAGCGAGGCAACCUGUCUGUGUGCUAAGUUGUACGUACCGCAUCUUUAACCUGAGCAGCAAACCUGCAACUCCUGCAGAGUUGGCGGAACAGUCUCAGAAGUUUUGGAUUCAAAGGGCAAGAAAUUUCACUUUAAAAGUCAUUCACCCACUUCUUAACUGCCCUCUCACCCCAGUUAAUGCCGGACAAUUAAGAAGCAUGUUUAUAAAUUCCCUCUGCGGACACUGUCCGACAAUGAAGGCUUGUUAGAGGCUUGGUAAAGAUGUUCAGAGAAACUUUUGCGAAAUAAUCAACAGCAUCUGAGAGAAAGCUAAAGGAAAAGAAGUUAAAGCCUGAUAAUCCGAUUGGGAAAAAGUUUUGUUAGACUAGAUAGAAGUAAAUUACUGCACGUUUCUUCAAAAGCAAACCCAUCAGCUGAUACGAGUUCCCCUAGAACAAGAACCUCUGGCGAACUCCUCCAAAUUUAGGGGACGUUUGCAUUUUGUAACACUCAAAGCUAAAGAUCCGUCUGAAAACAAAACCUCUGAAUUCCUUACAGCGUCAUCUGCCAACAAAAUGUAUUGUCUUGGCAGAAAAAGGAUCAAGGAGAAUUUAAUUUCAUUUUAAACUGUGCAUCAUCUUGAUAGCGAAGGAAAAAGCCGCAGCAACAAUCUCCCCGCUCCACGCCCCCGCCGUUCAGAAAAAAAAAAAAAAAAAAAAAAAAAAAAAAAAAAAAAAAAAAAAGGAAGGGGGGAAGAGAGAACUGGAAAAACCACAUAAACUUUUACAAAGAAAAUAAAAGCAAGUUCGACAUGAAAACCCCUUCCUGU